GAACGCUGGCGGCGGCCUAACAAUGCAAGUCGAACGGUAACAUUUCUAGCUUGCUAGAAGAUGACGAGUGGCGGACGGGUGAGUAAUGCUUGGGAACUUGCCUUUGCGAGGGGGAUAACAGUUGGAAACGACUGCUAAUACCGCAUAAUGUCUUCGGACCAAACGGGGCUUCGGCUCCGGCGCAGAGAGAGGCCCAAGUGAGAUUAGCUAGUUGGUGAGGUAAAGGCUCACCAAGGCAACGAUCUCUAGCUGUUCUGAGAGGAAGAUCAGCCACACUGGGACUGAGACACGGCCCAGACUCCUACGGGAGGCAGCAGUGGGGAAUAUUGCACAAUGGGGGAAACCCUGAUGCAGCCAUGCCGCGUGUGUGAAGAAGGCCUUCGGGUUGUAAAGCACUUUCAGUUGUGAGGAAAAGUUAGUAGUUAAUACCUGCUAGCCGUGACGUUAACAACAGAAGAAGCACCGGCUAACUCCGUGCCAGCAGCCGCGGUAAUACGAGGGUGCGAGCGUUAAUCGGAAUUACUGGGCGUAAAGCGCACGCAGGCGGUUUGUUAAGCUAGAUGUGAAAGCCCCGGGCUCAACCUGGGAUGGUCAUUUA
This 598-nucleotide ribosomal RNA is filed under the name uncultured bacterium. Its description in RNAcentral is "bacterial SSU rRNA". It matches the Rfam family "Bacterial small subunit ribosomal RNA", at positions 31 to 629 of the family's 1533-position model. The record is from RNAcentral.